Molecule: ribosomal RNA, 352 nt
Filed under: Ensifer meliloti
Lineage: Bacteria; Pseudomonadati; Pseudomonadota; Alphaproteobacteria; Hyphomicrobiales; Rhizobiaceae
Description: Sinorhizobium meliloti bacterial SSU rRNA
Rfam family: Bacterial small subunit ribosomal RNA
Source: RNAcentral
GAGAGAUCGUAUCCUUCAGUUCGGCUGGAUCGGAGACAGGUGCUGCAUGGCUGUCGUCAGCUCGUGUCGUGAGAUGUUGGGUUAAGUCCCGCAACGAGCGCAACCCUCGCCCUUAGUUGCCAGCAUUCAGUUGGGCACUCUAAGGGGACUGCCGGUGAUAAGCCGAGAGGAAGGUGGGGAUGACGUCAAGUCCUCAUGGCCCUUACGGGCUGGGCUACACACGUGCUACAAUGGUGGUGACAGUGGGCAGCGAGACCGCGAGGUCGAGCUAAUCUCCAAAAGCCAUCUCAGUUCGGAUUGCACUCUGCAACUCGAGUGCAUGAAGUUGGAAUCGCUAGUAAUCGCAGAUCAG